This 402-nucleotide ribosomal RNA is filed under the name Bacteroidota bacterium. RNAcentral's name for it is "Bacteroidetes bacterium partial 16S ribosomal RNA". It matches the Rfam family "Bacterial small subunit ribosomal RNA", at positions 355 to 776 of the family's 1533-position model. Lineage: Bacteria; Pseudomonadati; Bacteroidota. The record is from RNAcentral.
UGGGGAAUUUUGCACAAUGGGGGAAACCCUGAUGCAGCGACGCCGCGUGAUUUAGAAGGCCUUCGGGUUGUAAAAAUCUUUUCUAUGGGAAGAAAAUGACAGUACCAUAGGAAUAAGGACCGGCUAAUUACGUGCCAGCAGCCGCGGUAAUACGUAAGGUCCGAGCGUUGUCCGGAAUCAUUGGGCGUAAAGGGUACGUAGGCGGGUAAGCAAGUUAGAAGUGAAAUCCUGUAGCUCAACUACAGUAAGCUUUUAAAACUGCACAUCUUGAGAUAUGGAAGGGAAAGUGGAAUUCCUAGUGUAGCGGUGAAAUGCGCAGAUAUUAGGAGGAAUACCGGUGGCGAAGGCGACUUUCUGGCCAUAAUCUGACGCUGAGGUACGAAAGCGUGGGUAGCAAACAGG